Molecule: long non-coding RNA, 1093 nt
Organism: Diceros bicornis minor
Lineage: Eukaryota; Metazoa; Chordata; Mammalia; Perissodactyla; Rhinocerotidae
Exons: 6
Source: RefSeq, a predicted model, not a curated record
GUGUCACCCGCCCCCGCCUGGCUGCCGUGCCCCCCCAGUGACCGCCCCCCCUGGGAGCCGGCCCCCGGACGUGCGGCGACCCCACGGUCCCCGCGCAGCCCCUCCGCGCGGAGGCGCGUCGGAGGACGGCGGGGCGCGGGCGGCCGCGGAGCCGGCGCCCGGCGAGGUGCGCGCUCGGGGACGUCGCCGGGGCCGUGUUCGCGGGAAUCGGGGCUUCGCUGCUCGGGGAACUAGCGAGCCGCCUCCCCGUCGCCGGCCGUCCUGAGCAGUGCGGACGUCUUGUGUUGUCUGAACUCGAGGCGGUUCAAAGCCGGAGAGGCAGGCUUUUUACAGUCGCUUAUAGUAGUGGUGGUGAACAGAUGCACGUCAGUUCCCUUCCCCACCUUCUUCCGUAGGAAUCGACCGCAUACGAAUGUUCACGUUCGCAUGGCUACCUGAUCACCAGUCUCAGGCGGUGAUGCCGCGGAGGAGCUUCUUCCUCGCGAGGUCCAGGUGGGGGGAAUGCCAGCGGUUUUGGCUGUCCGACUGCCAAGUGCUAGUUUGCAACUGCCCAGUAGUGUUUUCUCUUCAUACCCAAAUACAAUACAGCAGUGCUCAUGUGGUAAAGCUUUGAAGAAUUGUCAGUAUUUUUUAAUGACAUAUGCUGAACUUAAAAAUAAAGUGUCCCUUUCUUCCUUCUCCUGGCUCAACCGUGUCAAGUAAACCGUACACACAGAAAUCUCUCAUACCAAAGGCUCUGCCGUCUAACUGAAAGGCUGGCACCUGUUCUAGAGCGAUGUUGAAUGAUGGUCUCAUUGGACAAUUUUGGAGGUUCCACCAAGGUCAUUUUGAAGACCCUCAUUUGACGGCGUUCCAGGGGACCCUGAGGCCAACAGGAGGGUUUUGAGGACAUCUGCAGGCGUGGGUCUGUCUAGAACCCACAGAAUGUUGUAACCAAGUGUCUCCGGCCAACGGAACACCUUCUGAGUGCUCACUGCUUCCUGGUGUACAGAUGAGAUGGGAGUGUAUGUAAAUUGCUAGGAUCACCUUGGACAGCAACUUUGGCCACACUUGGUAAAUUUGAAGAUGUGCGUCUCCUACAAUAUAGCGUUCA